RNAcentral lists this ribosomal RNA (729 nucleotides) under uncultured eukaryote. Its description in RNAcentral is "SSU rRNA". It matches the Rfam family "Eukaryotic small subunit ribosomal RNA", at positions 670 to 1426 of the family's 1831-position model. The record is from RNAcentral.
CGCGUGCACUGGUCCGGCCGGGCCUUUCCUUCUGUGGAACCCCAUGCCCUUCACUGGGUGUGGCGGGGAAACAGGACUUUUACUUUGAAAAAAUUAGAGUGCUCCAGGCAGGCCUAUGCUCGAAUACAUUAGCAUGGAAUAAUAAAAUAGGACGUGUGGUUCUAUUUUGUUGGUUUCUAGGACCGCCGUAAUGAUUAAUAGGGACAGUCGGGGGCAUCAGUAUUCAGUUGUCAGAGGUGAAAUUCUUAGAUCUACUGAAGACUAACUACUGCGAAAGCAUUUGCCAAGGAUGUUUUCAUUAAUCAGGAACGAAAGUUAGGGGAUCGAAGACGAUCAGAUACCGUCGUAGUCUUAACCAUAAACUAUGCCGACUAGGGAUCGGACGAUGUUAUUUUUUGACUCGUCCGGCACCUUACGAGAAAUCAAAGUGCUUGGGCUCCAGGGGGAGUAUGGUCGCAAGGCUGAAACUUAAAGAAAUUGACGGAAGGGCACCACCAGGGGUGGAGUCUGCGGCUUAAUUUGACUCAACACGGGGAAACUCACCAGGUCCAGACACAAUAAGGAUUGACAGAUUGAGAGCUCUUUCUUGAUUUUGUGGGUGGUGGUGCAUGGCCGUUCUUAGUUGGUGGAGUGAUUUGUCUGCUUAAUUGCGAUAACGAACGAGACCUUAACCUGCUAACUAGCCCGUAUUGCUCAGGCAGUACGCCGGCUUCUUAGAGGGACUAUCGG